RNAcentral lists this ribosomal RNA (547 nucleotides) under Raffaelea albimanens. Its description in RNAcentral is "LSU rRNA". It matches the Rfam family "Eukaryotic large subunit ribosomal RNA", at positions 44 to 591 of the family's 3401-position model. Lineage: Eukaryota; Fungi; Ascomycota; Sordariomycetes; Ophiostomatales; Ophiostomataceae. The record is from RNAcentral.
CAAUAAGCGGAGGAAAAGAAACCAACAGGGAUUGCCCCAGUAACGGCGAGUGAAGCGGCAACAGCUCAAAUUUGAAAUCUGGCCCUCCCCUGGGGGGCCCGAGUUGUACUUUGGAGAGGAUGCUUUGGGCGCGGCGCCUUCCGAGUUCCUUGGAACAGGACGCCAGAGAGGGUGAGAGCCCCGUACGGUCGGACGCCUAGCCCGUGUAAAGCUCCUUCGAACGAGUCGAGUAGUUUGGGAAUGCUGCUCAAAAUGGGAGGUAAAUUUCUUCUAAAGCUAAAUACCGGCCAGAGACCGAUAGCGCACAAGUAGAGUGAUCGAAAGAUGAAAAGCACUUUGAAAAGAGGGUUAAACAGCACGUGAAAUUGUUGAAAGGGAAGCGCCUGUGGCCAGACGUGCGCCCCGCGGACCACCCGCCGGUUUCCGGCGGGGCACGCCGCGGGUGCGCAGGCCAGCAUCGGCUUCCCCAGGGGGACAAAGGCCGCGGGAACGUAGCUCCUUCGGGAGUGUUAUAGCCCGCGGCGUCAUGCCCCUGGGGGGGCCGAGG